CAGGGGAUAUAUCAAACAGGUAGAUUAUUAAACUUAAGAGCGGGAGGUUAUAGGUUCAAGUCCUAUUCCCUUGA
Molecule: transfer RNA, 74 nt
Filed under: Tethya citrina
Lineage: Eukaryota; Metazoa; Porifera; Demospongiae; Tethyida; Tethyidae
Description: trnL
Source: RNAcentral